GUUUCUGAUAUUUCAUUACUACAAAUUAUUCUACAAUAUACAACUUUAUUUAUAUCCUUAUGAAAUGUGCAGGACAUUUUCUAGGAUGUACGCUUAUGAGUAGAACUGCUGAGUCACAGGUAGGAGCAUCUUCAGUUUCGUGCUAGACUGUCAGGAUUAUAAAUUGGUCCUUAGUCUGUACUCUUUUCCCAGUAUAAAAGAGUUUUUAUUUAUUCACAUUGUAAACUACAUUUGGAAAGGUCAAACUUUAAAUUUUUUUUCUACUCUUGUUGGUGUAAAAUAAUACAGCAUUUUAAACUUUUUAUUUUCUUGGUUAUGAGAUGAGGCAUAAUUUUAAUUUUUUUAAACAUUCAAGCUUGCUCUUCUCUGAAUUGCUUUCCAUGUAGAUGGUACACUUGUUUACUAAGUUGGUUAUUCAUUUUUUCUUGUUCACUUUAAUAAAUUCUUUUUACCAUUAUAGCUACCUAUUUUUAGUUACAUAAGUUAAAAAAAUUAUAUCUUUAGGUUUUAUGUGUCUAAUUGAUCUGUUUCCUUCAUGACUUUUUUAUGUUGUCUAAGAAAUUAUUUGCUUCCACAUUGUAAGGAAAAUAGUCAGUUACAUAUUCCUCUAAAAAUUUUAAACUUUUACUUUUCAGUCUGUGGUCUUGGAUCCAACAGGAUUAUUUUGGAGGGUACAGUUCAUGAUAGAGAAUCUCAUUGCAUUCUUACCAUAUGUAGAGCCAGUUGACCCAGCACCAAUUACUGCAGUGCUCACCUUUUCAUGAUUAAUUUGUACUGUUGCCUCUAUCACACAUUGUGUUUCCCUGUGGCUGUAGGUCUCUUUUUAGAUUCUUUUUAUUGACUCCUGUCCCAAUUAAAUAUUGUUCAAUACUGUGGCUUUAAAUGUGGUAGGUAAUGAGCCAAGCCUUUCUUCUCUGUUUUUCUGCUUUUCAAAUUCAACUUAGAAUAUAAAGAAAUACCUGAGGCUGGGUAAGUUAUAAAUAUUAUAAAAGAGGUUUCUUUGGCUCUUGGUUCAGCAGGAUGUACAAGGAACAUGCCACCAACAUCAGCUUCAGGUGAAGGCCUCAGAGAGCUUCCAGUCGUGGUGGAAGGGGAAUGGGAACUAGCAUGUCACAUGGCAGAGGAAGGAAAAGAGAGAGAAGGAGCUGCCAGGCUCUUUGAACAAUCAGACCUCAGGGUAACUAAUAGAGCGAGAGCUGAUUCAUUACCUCCAGGAAGGCACCAAGUCUUUAUGAGGGAUCCACCCCCUUGCCCCAAUACCUCCCACCACACCUCACCUCCAUCAUAGGGGAUCAAAUUUCAACAUGAGACUUGGAGGAGACAAAUAUCCAAACUGUAUCAGUUGGAGGAAAAAAGAGCUCUAAUUAUAUACAGCCUACCUUGAAUCCACCCUCGUACCUCCACACAUGAACACAUACCUGUAUUGCGAUGAUCCUAUCCAGCUGAUUCAAAAAGAUGCAUGGUGAGUAGCCUUGAUAACUAAUGCUCAGUCAAUGCAAUUGUAACUAAACUUCUGUUUUUAUCCAGAAUUGUUUUGUUGCUCUAAUUCACAUGCACUGUUUUACUUAGGGGAUGCUAACAUGCCAUAAUGGGUUUUCGGCAAUAUCCAUUAGCUUUGAGAGGGGCAAAUAAUGAAUAGGUAGACCACUUACCAUUUUGCAAAGGCUCAACAUAUAAAUUUUUAGACAUAUUUAAGCAGAACAG
This 1704-nucleotide long non-coding RNA is filed under the name Homo sapiens (human). Its description in RNAcentral is "HSALNT0058110". The record is from RNAcentral. Lineage: Eukaryota; Metazoa; Chordata; Mammalia; Primates; Hominidae.